AGUGAACGCUGGCGGUAGGCCUAACACAUGCAAGUCGAACGGCAGCACAGUAAGAGCUUGCUCUUACGGGUGGCGAGUGGCGGACGGGUGAGGAAUACAUCGGAAUCUACUUUUUCGUGGGGGAUAACGUAGGGAAACUGACGCUAAUACCGCAUACGACCUACGGGUGAAAGCAGGGGAGCUUCGGACCUUUCGCGAUUGAAUGAGCCGGUGUCGGAUUAGCUAGUUGGCGGGGUAAAGGCCCACCAAGGCAACGAUGCGUAGCUGGUCUGAGAGGAUGAUCAGCCACACUGGAACUGAGACACGGUCCAGACUCCUACGGGAGGCAGCAGUAGGGAAUAUUCCACAAAGGGCGCAAGCCUGAUGGAGCAACGCCGCGUGAGUGAUGAAGGUCUUCGGAUUGUAAAACUCUGUUAUUAGGGAAGAAAAGAUGUGUAAGUAACCGUGGACAUCUUGACGGUACCUAAACAGAAAGCCACGGCUAACUUCGUG
This 492-nucleotide ribosomal RNA is filed under the name uncultured bacterium. RNAcentral describes it as "partial 16S ribosomal RNA". It matches the Rfam family "Bacterial small subunit ribosomal RNA", at positions 29 to 507 of the family's 1533-position model. The record is from RNAcentral.